RNAcentral lists this ribosomal RNA (440 nucleotides) under uncultured bacterium. Its description in RNAcentral is "partial 16S ribosomal RNA". It matches the Rfam family "Bacterial small subunit ribosomal RNA", at positions 377 to 795 of the family's 1533-position model. The record is from RNAcentral.
CCUACUUUGAUCCUCCUUCUUUCCUUUUUCUCCCUUUUCUCCCUCCUGCCGCCGCCCCGCCGCGUGCCCGAGACGCCCUUCGGGGUGUAAAGUUCUGUCAGUGGGGACGAAAAAUGACGGUACCCACAGAGGAAGCACCGGCUAACUCCGUGCCAGCAGCCGCGGUAAUACGGAGGGUGCAAGCGUUGUCCGGAAUCAUUGGGCGUAAAGAGUUCGUAGGCGGCAUGUAAAGUCAGGUGUUAAAGGCGCAGGCUCAACCUGUGUAUGGCACUUGAUACUUGCAAGCUGGAAUGCGGUAGAGGUAAAGGGAAUUCCUGGUGUAGCGGUGAAAUGCUUAGAUAUCAGGAGGAACAUCGGUGGCGUAAGCGCUUUACUGGGCCGUAAUUGACGCUGAGGAACGAAAGCCAGGGUAGCAAAUGGGAUUAGAUACCCUUGUAGUC